Molecule: ribosomal RNA, 225 nt
Filed under: Triticum aestivum (bread wheat)
Lineage: Eukaryota; Viridiplantae; Streptophyta; Magnoliopsida; Poales; Poaceae
Description: partial small subunit ribosomal RNA
Source: RNAcentral
AUGCCUACAAAAAAUCAAUUGAUUCGCCAUGGUAGAGAAGAAAAACAGCGCACGGACCGUACUCGACCUACGGAUCAAUGUCCCCAAAAGCAAGGCGUAUGCCUGCGUGUUUCGACGAGAACACCGAAAAAACCUAAUUCAGCUCUACGUAAGAUAGCAAAAGUAUGGUUGAGCAAUCGACAUGAUAUAUUUGCUCACAUUCCAGGCAAAGGUCGUAAUUCGUAG